RNAcentral lists this ribosomal RNA (497 nucleotides) under uncultured bacterium. RNAcentral describes it as "partial 16S ribosomal RNA". It matches the Rfam family "Bacterial small subunit ribosomal RNA", at positions 28 to 507 of the family's 1533-position model. The record is from RNAcentral.
GAUGAACGCUGGCGGCGUGCCUAAUACAUGCAAGUCGAGCGAACGGACGAGAAGCUUUCUUCUCUGAUGUUAGCGGCUGACGGGUGAGUAAGACGUGGAUAACCUACCUAUAAGACUGGGAUAACUUCGGGAAACCGUAGCUAAUACCGGAUAAUAUUUUGAACCGCAUGGUUCAAAAGUGAUAGACGGUCUUGCUGUCACUUAUAGAUGGAUCCGCGCUGCAUUAGCUAGUUGGUAAGGUAACGGCUUACCAAGGCAACGAUGCAUAGCCGACCUGAGAGGGUGAUCGGCCACACUGGAACUGAGACACGGUCCAGACUCCUACGGGAGGCAGCAGUAGGGAAUCUUCCGCAAUGGGCGAAAGCCUGACGGAGCAACGCCGCGUGAGUGAUGAAGGUCUUCGGAUCGUAAAACUCUGUUAUUAGGGAAGAACAUAUGUGUAAGUAACUGUGCACAUCUUGACGGUACCUAAUCAGAAAACCACGGCUAACUACGUG